GCCUACGGGACGCAGCAGUGGGGAAUAUUGCACAAUGGGGGAAACCCUGAUGCAGCGACGCCGCGUGAGUGAAGAAGUAUCUCGGUACGUAAAGCUCUAUCAGCAGGGAAGAAAAAAAGUCUUUGGCUUUGGACGGUACCUGACUAAGAAGCCCCGGCUAACUACGUGCCAGCAGCCGCGGUAAUACGUAGGGGGCAAGCGUUAUCCGGAUUUACUGGGUGUAAAGGGAGCGUAGACGGCAGCGCAAGUCUGGAGUGAAAUGCCGGGGCUCAACCCCGGAACUGUUUUGGAAACUGUGCAGCUAG
RNAcentral lists this ribosomal RNA (305 nucleotides) under uncultured bacterium. Its description in RNAcentral is "bacterial SSU rRNA". It matches the Rfam family "Bacterial small subunit ribosomal RNA", at positions 337 to 644 of the family's 1533-position model. The record is from RNAcentral.